Homo sapiens (human) is the source of this 384-nucleotide long non-coding RNA. Ensembl annotates it as EDRF1 antisense RNA 1. Its record names the gene EDRF1-AS1. The record is from Ensembl. NCBI's taxonomy places the organism in Eukaryota, Metazoa, Chordata, Mammalia, Primates, Hominidae.
UACUCUAAGCAGUUCGCAGGGAGCAUCUUUCAGCAGCUGAAACAGCUUUGCGGCCUUGCUGUAAUGAAGAUCUGCCAGCACCCGGUGUUGUUUCCUAAGGUGUUCAUCACCAACCUAGAACCAAACCAAAACAAGCAACAAAUCCUUCACGUUUCUAGAAUUAGCAUUUAAGUACUAACCUGACUGGAAGCACUGGGAUCUUCAGAAACUGAAGAAGGCAUUUCGAAGGGAGCAGGCCAUGAAGCCCCUUCCGAAUCAUUUGUCUGAUCUGAACUGGACGAUUCCUGCUGUUCUGCGGUGGAUGAGACAGGCUGAGCGGCUCCAUCACCAUUGAUACUGGCCAAACCAGAAAUAAAAAAGGAUUGCUGUUACUAAAGUUAACUU